GAUCCUGGCUCAGGACGAACGCUGGCGGCGUGGAUUAGGCAUGCAAGUCGAACGGUAUCAUCCUUUCGGGGGUGAGAGAGUGGCGAACUGGUGAGUAACACGUAGGUUAUCUACCCUCAAGACGGGGACAACCCAGGGAAACUUGGGCUAAUACCGGAUGUGAGCAACUUUUAGUUGUUUGAAAGGUGGCGUAAGCUGUCGCUUGGGGAUGAGCCUGCGUCCUAUUAGUUAGUUGGUGAGGUAACGGCUCACCUAGGCAAUGAUAGGUAGGCGGCCUUAACGGGUGGCCGCCCACACUGGGAUUGAGAUACGGCCC
Molecule: ribosomal RNA, 316 nt
Filed under: uncultured bacterium
Lineage: Bacteria
Description: bacterial SSU rRNA
Rfam family: Bacterial small subunit ribosomal RNA
Source: RNAcentral